CCUACGGGCGGCAGCAGUAGGGAAUCUUCCACAAUGGGCGAAAGCCUGAUGGAGCAACGCCGCGUGGGUGAAGAAGGUCUUCGGAUCGUAAAACCCUGUUGUUAGAGAAGAAAGUGCGUGAGAGUAACUGUUCACGUUUCGACGGUAUCUAACAAGACAGCCACGGCUAACUACGUGCCAGCAGCCGCGGUAAUACGGAGGUGGCAAGCGUUAUCCGGAUUUAUUUGGCGUAAAGGGAACGCAGGCGGUCUUUUAAGUCUGAUGUGAAAGCCUUCGGCUUAACCGGAGUAGUGCAUUGGAAACUGGGAGACUUGAGUGCAGAAGAGGAGAGUGGAACUCCAUGUGUAGCGGUGAAAUGCGUAGAUAUAUGGAAGAACACCAGUGGCGAAAGCGGCUCUCUGGUCUGUAACUGACGCUGAGGUUCGAAAGCGUGGGUAGCAAACAGGAUUAGAUACCCUAGUAGUC
Molecule: ribosomal RNA, 465 nt
Filed under: uncultured bacterium
Lineage: Bacteria
Description: partial 16S ribosomal RNA
Rfam family: Bacterial small subunit ribosomal RNA
Source: RNAcentral